GCGAAGUCAAGUCCGGACCUCAGUAGGAUUGCAGCUGGCUUAACCGCACGUGCUCGUCUCAAAGGGCUUCGGACCUUCACUACCACACCCCACUGUGAACCAAGCGGGAGGUCGAAAGGCCUCUUGCAUUUAUAAACCCCCAAACGUAUGUCUCAGAAUGUCUACGCGUUAAUUCGCAAAUAUA
Molecule: unclassified non-coding RNA, 184 nt
Filed under: uncultured fungus
Lineage: Eukaryota; Fungi
Description: sequence contains ITS1, 5.8S rRNA gene
Source: RNAcentral